GUGACUCUUCAUAUAUAGUUUCUGGCCAUUCCUGAUCUUUCUUAUAAUUUACUUACAACAUGUAUCAUGAUAUUCUAUAUUGUGUAUAUAGCUCAUCUGUAAAUUCAGGGAAUCUCAUACGUAUCUGUUACUGUUUCCCUCACACUCGUGGGCACUUCAUUGGAAGUUAUAUAUAUUUGAUGUGCAUCCUUUUUCUCAAGAAUUCUUGACACAAGAAAUUUUGUGGAGAUCCUUUUUCCUCUCCUGCAAUUCUUUGUGAAGUUUCUUCGUGAAAAUAUAGCAUAUGUUGUAGAUCUGCCUCGUAUAUGGGUAUAUAUCCAACUCUUCCCUUCACCCUUACUUGUCCUUAAGUUUACACUCUUUUCUUUGGGUUUUAUUGGAUGUUUCAUAGAUCUUAAGUAAUUAUAACUCUGAAUAUAUAUACAUCAAUAUUUACUAUUUCUUCAUUAAUUUGGUACCUUUCGAACCCUAAAUAUAAUGUUAAAAACUUGCUCAAAUCAGUUAGUCACACUAGUAUAAUAUUUUCUA
RNAcentral lists this long non-coding RNA (528 nucleotides) under Nicotiana benthamiana. RNAcentral's name for it is "long non-coding RNA (NBEN_LNC005796)". The record is from RNAcentral. Lineage: Eukaryota; Viridiplantae; Streptophyta; Magnoliopsida; Solanales; Solanaceae.